Molecule: RNA transcript, 1240 nt
Organism: Musa acuminata AAA Group (dessert banana)
Lineage: Eukaryota; Viridiplantae; Streptophyta; Magnoliopsida; Zingiberales; Musaceae
Gene name: protein BPS1, chloroplastic-like
Exons: 2
Source: RefSeq, a predicted model, not a curated record
GCGAGUGUAGCAGUUCACAAUCAUGCAAGGGAACAACGAGAGUUGCCUUACGCUUCUUGGGUGAACAGGAAUUGGACAAUCUCCGAGGAAAUGGAAGGAUCGGCUCUACCAUGCUUAAGGUGUCAAGGGCUCAGCUCUACCCCUUUGACAGAGGAUGCCUCUACCUUCUGCACUUCCCUCACCGAGGACCUCAAGGGGCUCGAGCUGUCGCUGGCGAAGGACUCCAUCUCCCUCAGGUGGUUCGUCGAAGCGAUGAGCGUCUUGAAGAGGAUGCAGGUGAGACUCCUUGCCCUGCUGAAGAAAUCUGAGUUGCCGAUCUCGUACGAAGCCGAAGACUGGUUUGAUCAGUACAUGCAAGAGUCUGCGUCUCUAUUAGAUUUCUGCAACUCAAUGAAGUCUGCACUUUCCGGGAUCAACCGGUCUCGCAUGGCUUUAGAGCUCGCAGUCCAUAAACUAAGCGAAGACAACGAGUUCGGAUUGGAAAGAUUACAGAAAGCUCAUGAGGAAAUUUUAGAUUUCAGAAUAGAGAAGGAAAGAUUAGGACUAGCUAAAGGUGGAAUUUUGCUCGGAGGAAAUGGAGGAGACGACAAGAACAUGGCAAUCGUGAUGCUUGCUGCUAAAACCACUGUGACAGUCUUGUCAUGGUUUAUGAUUUCAGCAAUGAUUUCUCCUGUUCCGGUUAAUAUGGAAGACAAGGAGCUGACUUCAUCGAUCCCUGAGCUACAGCAGUGCAUGGAGAUGCUGACACGGAUUUCGAGCCUCGGCAUCGGUCGGGAAGUUGCUCUGGUCGAGCAUGAGAUGGUGAACGAGGCAGUCGAGGAGUUACAGGCGGCGGAGAAGAACAGCCAUAGUUUCCUCAGUGGUCUGGAGAAGUUGAGAACAAGGUCAUUUGAGCUGAAGGAGGGGAUCGAGAGGCUCGGCACAGUAGUGGAUGAGGUGUUCGAGGAGGCCAUCAGAGGAAGGAAUGAGAUGCUUGACAUCUUCAGGAAUGCAACUCUUUGAUUCCUGGUGGAAACAAUGCAUUCUACUGCAAUGGAAGAGCUAGUUUUCAGUCUUCUUCUUCUAUGAUAAUGUAAACUACAGUGGAUCAGCACAGCCAUAUGGCACCUUUUUCAGCGCAGCAACGGCGCCGGAGUCGGAGUGGGUGGCGGAGCUGCCCGCGGCGUCAGCCAGAAAGGCCAUGUGUUUGUUGUCUGCUUAUUUUUGGUCCCACGAUAACAGCGCCUUCAAUUUCUGCCCU